AUUGCGUCUCAGUCUUUUGACUAAGACCAAGACCAAGUAUAGUAUCUUUUCUUAACAGUUUAAUGUCUGAUAUGUUCUCUAUCCAAAGACAAUAUAUUAAAAGGAUUUUUGGAGCAGGGAGAUGGAAUAGGGGAUUGCUCUGUUCACUCCAUUCGUCAACCUGGUAGUGCAGUAUCUCCAGGGAUGGUGUACCAAAA
Cynocephalus volans (Philippine flying lemur) is the source of this 197-nucleotide small nuclear RNA. RefSeq annotates it as U2 spliceosomal RNA. Lineage: Eukaryota; Metazoa; Chordata; Mammalia; Dermoptera; Cynocephalidae. The transcript has a single exon. The record is from RefSeq and is a predicted model, not a curated record.